RNAcentral lists this ribosomal RNA (522 nucleotides) under Fusarium oxysporum f. sp. cepae. RNAcentral's name for it is "SSU rRNA". It matches the Rfam family "Bacterial small subunit ribosomal RNA", at positions 370 to 862 of the family's 1533-position model. The record is from RNAcentral. Lineage: Eukaryota; Fungi; Ascomycota; Sordariomycetes; Hypocreales; Nectriaceae.
UUUAGGAGAAGUCUUAUUGUGAGGGCGAGUUAUAUAACACCAUAGGACUGGCCGUCCCAUAUGAAAAGAUUAUAUUAGAAUUGAAUGAAGCUUUGUUUAUAUAUUGAUAAUGACAGUAUAUAUAUCGUGUCUUGACUAAUUGCGUGCCAGCAGUCGCGGUAAUACGUAAGAGACUAGUGUUAUUCAUCUUAAUUAGGUUUAAAGGGUACCCAGACGGUCAAUAUAGCUUAUAAAAUGUUAGUACUUGACUAGAGUUUUAUGUAAGAGGGCAGUACUUGAGGAGGAGAGAUGAAAUUUCGUGAUACCAAAGGGACUCUGUAAAGGCGAAGGCAGCCCUCUAUGUAAAAACUGACGUUGAAGGACGAAGGCACAGAGAACAAACAGGAUUAGAUACCCAAGUAGUCUUUGCAGUAAAUGAUGAAUGCCAUAGGUUAGAUUGAUCAAUUAUAGUCUAGGGUUAGUCUAGCAAACUAAUGCCCUAUGAUAUAAUUCAAAAUAUCUGGUCUAUAAAUGAAAGUGUAA